GAUGAACGCUGGCGGCGUGCCUAAUACAUGCAAGUCGAGCGAACGGACGAGAAGCUUGCUUCUCUGAUGUUAGCGGCGGACGGGUGAGUAACACGUGGAUAACCUACCUAUAAGACUGGGAUAACUUCGGGAAACCGGAGCUAAUACCGGAUAAUAUUUUGAACCGCAUGGUUCAAAAGUGAAAGACGGUCUUGCUGUCACUUAUAGAUGGAUCCGCGCUGCAUUAGCUAGUUGGUAAGGUAACGGCUUACCAAGGCAACGAUGCAUAGCCGACCUGAGAGGGUGAUCGGCCACACUGGAACUGAGACACGGUCCAGACUCCUACGGGAGGCAGCAGUAGGGAAUCUUCCGCAAUGGGCGGAAGCCUGACGGAGCAACGCCGCGUGAGUGAUGAAGGUCUUCGGAUCGUAAAACUCUGUUAUUAGGGAAGAACAUAUGUGUAAGUAACUGUGCACAUCUUGACGGUACCUAAUCAGAAAGCCACGGCUAACUACGUGCCAGCAGCCGCGGUAAUACGUAGGUGGCAAGCGUUAUCCGGAAUUAUUGGGCGUAAAGCGCGCGUAGGCGGUUUUUUAAGUCUGAUGUGAAAGCCCACGGCUCAACCGUGGAGGGUCAUUGGAAACUGGAAAACUUGAGUGCAGAAGAGGAAAGUGGAAUUCCAUGUGUAGCGGUGAAAUGCGCAGAGAUAUGGAGGAACACCAGUGGCGAAGGCGACUUUCUGGUCUGUAACUGACGCUGAUGUGCGAAAGCGUGGGGAUCAAACAGG
Molecule: ribosomal RNA, 766 nt
Filed under: Staphylococcus aureus
Lineage: Bacteria; Bacillati; Bacillota; Bacilli; Caryophanales; Staphylococcaceae
Description: bacterial SSU rRNA
Rfam family: Bacterial small subunit ribosomal RNA
Source: RNAcentral